CAGAGACAGUGGAAGUUACAGAGACAGAAGAACACAAGACAAAACAGGAUGUCUCUCCAUGUUGUUCUGUGACACAGAAAGGACAUCUUAGCUCCAAUCCAAUCAACUUUUAUUCCUUUGGAAGCGUACAGAGUUGGCAGGCCUUUUGAGCCAGUUGUACAGUUAUACCACUGACCUUCCAAUUACAGGCAGGGGCUGAUGGUCCACUCUACUACAGCAAUUCAGUCAGACUACAUCAGUCAUUCAUUUCAUUUCACUCAUCAGAUAGUUUUGUACUGUCAGAAUAAAUAGUCUGGUUAACAAUAACAAAGACAACUUCAGAAAGGUACAAAACAGCUAUAGAGCACUGAAUAUACUGUAUGUUUACAAUUGUAAGCAUAGAAGACUUCACUUAAUAUAAGUUACUGUAGUUUUGUUAUGUCCCGAAGCCCAGUUUACAGUAAAUAUGUAGUGUAGUGUGACCUUUGAUUCUAUUCGAAGGCAUGUCAUGAUGUAAUGACAGAAGAGUAAGGUGCCUAGUACUUGGUUUGGUCUGUGGUACACUGUGUCUGUGUGGGGGGUGGGGGCGGGCAAGGACGAAGGAUGAGUACCCCGCUGGCCCCAUAUAAGAACACAAACACAUGGGUGCAUGACAUCCCACCCGGCGUACAGACACAGCCCAUGUGACCGGCUGGCUCAGAGACAGCUGUGACUGUCUAACUGUGGCCCAGGUCAGAUCCUGGCCCGGAUCACAUGCUGCUUAACCCACGUCCAUGUCAGACCGCUAAUCAGUGACCAAUGUAAACGGACCUCUCAAAGCUAUCUUGGACGAGGCACCGUACCCCGUCUUGUGGAUUGAAAAGAGAUAGAGAGAGUGUGUGUGUGUUUCUGUGUAUGUGUGUGUGUGUGUGUGUGUGUGUGUGUUGGAGGGAAAGCGCUUCAGUGGCAGUGGACACUGACAGAAGUGGUCAUUCCUUGACAUUCCUGCUGGGUUAUGGUGGGGACAUGUAUUACGGUUGGGGCAGGUAUCCUGCUGAGUUAUGGUGGGGACCUGUAUUACGGUUAUGGUGGGGACAGGUAUUACGGUUGGGGCAGGUAUGUUGCUGGGUUAUGGUGGGGACCUGUAUUACGGUUGGGGCAGGUAUCCUGCUGGGUUAUGGUGGGGAUCUGUAUUACGGUUGGGGCAGGUAUCCUGCUGGGUUAUGGUGGGGACCUGUAUUACGGUUGGGGCAGGUAUCCUGCUGAGUUAUGGUGGGGAUCUGUAUUACGGUUGGGGCAGGUAUCCUGCUGGGUUAUGGUGGGGACCUGUAUUACGGUUGGGGCAGGUAUCCUGCUGGGUUAUGGUGGGGACCUGUAUUACGGUUGGGGCAGGUAUCCUGUUGCAGCAGCCCACCCUACUUCUGCCCUUUCCAGAGCACCUCCUCCCAGCAAACCUGUUGCCUAACCAGAGUCCCCCAGACUGGACUGAACGUGCACUUCUUGUACUGUCCCGCCUGUUCUGUAUGGACAUGCAGAUAUGGUACUGUAGCCACACACUGGGGCUGUUCGACAGUACGUAUCAGACGACAGCAAUUUAUCAUUGCAUUAAGACAUCUAAGCGCAGCUUACAUAAAUUCCUGAGUGUCCCAUUUGAGGGAAAUAGCCUUAUUCACCCGAACCCGCCAUCAUGUCUCUUUGCCUGGUGUAGACUACAGACAGCACCAUAGACAGUACAACGUUCAGCUAAGUGGAGUAACAUCAUUGCUUUGAUCCAGUAGUAAUGACAUGAAUGCUGUCCUUUUAAGAAUGUAGUGCAUUAUUUUGGGGUCACCUUGGACUCCAGUCUAUCGGUGUAAUCUGGUUUGUCUGAUACUGGCCCUCUACCUCCUCCACCAUCUCUCCAGCUGACAUAUCUAUUGGUCCUUUGACAGCCCCUCAGACCCACUGUAAUCUAGUCACAGGCUUCUCCUUCAGUCAGCUGUUGUUGCUGGGAUGAAUGGCGACUCGCCUUUACAAAGUGUAUAGGAGUUAAGUGUGUCUCAAUGUCAAAGUGCAGCUGGAAAACUGGAUAGAAGGGGGGAUGAGUGUUGAUUCAUGUGGUCUAAAUAACAUGCAGCUUUAAGAGGCUGGUGCUGACAUUGUUGCAUCGAGAAUGAUGGAUGGUCAGUAGUAUUCUUAGGCACUGGAUAAAAUCAAAGCAACUGUUCAUCAUAAUCAAACAAAUUCUCAAAAUAGGUGUUAUAUUAUUGCUGUAGAAUUGUUAUAUAAUUCAGUAUGUACCAUAAGGCUUUUGGUGCAGUCAGUGUUUGCUGAGAGAGACAGUGAGUAUAUUUAUAGAAGGUUGGAAAGCAGGGCCUAUCUACUUGUCAGUGCUUUUAAAAUUGUGCAUCUUUUUAAAUUGUUGCUGUAUUUAUUUUUUAUUGGAGUUAGAUGGUACCGUAUGGAUGGUGUAUUUUUAUUUCCCUAUGUUUGUUUUUUGUGUUUUAAAUUAGGUUUUGUUUGUGAUGCCUGUUUUGGCCAGUACACUCCUGAAAUAGAUUUGUAAUCUUUCCUGGAUAAAGGUUAAAUAAAAAUAAAUCCCAGCUUCAUUGUUUACCUGGCCCCACUAUCAAUGAUCCCAUUCAGUGUUUACCUGGCCCCUCUAUCAAUGAUCCCAUUCAGGGUUUUAC
This is a long non-coding RNA of Esox lucius (northern pike), 2627 nucleotides long. The record is from Ensembl. Lineage: Eukaryota; Metazoa; Chordata; Actinopteri; Esociformes; Esocidae.